RNAcentral lists this ribosomal RNA (468 nucleotides) under uncultured bacterium. Its description in RNAcentral is "partial 16S ribosomal RNA". It matches the Rfam family "Bacterial small subunit ribosomal RNA", at positions 28 to 507 of the family's 1533-position model. The record is from RNAcentral.
GACGAACGCUGGCGGCGUGCUUAACACAUGCAAGUCGAACGGAAAGGCCCUGCUUUUGUGGGGUGCUCGAGUGGCGAACGGGUGAGUAACACGUGAGUAACCUGCCCUUGACUUUGGGAUAACUUCAGGUAACUGGGGCUAAUACCGGAUAGGAGCUCCUGCUGCAUGGUGGGGGUUGGAAAGUUUCGGCGGUUGGGGAUGGACUCGCGGCUUAUCAGCUUGUUGGUGGGGUAGUGGCUUACCAAGGCUUUGACGGGUACCCGGCCUGAGAGGGUGACCGGCCACAUGGGUACUGAGGUACGGCUCGGAACCCUCCGGGGAGCAGCAGUGGAGAAGAGUGCAAAAUGGGCGGACGCCUGAUGCAGCAACGCCGCGUGCGGGAGGACGGCCUUCGGUUUGUAUACCGCUUUCGCCUGUGACGAAGCGUGAGUGACGGUAAUGGGUAAAGAAGCACCGGCUCACUACGUG